Molecule: long non-coding RNA, 332 nt
Organism: Sorghum bicolor (sorghum)
Lineage: Eukaryota; Viridiplantae; Streptophyta; Magnoliopsida; Poales; Poaceae
Exons: 2
Source: RefSeq, a predicted model, not a curated record
UUGCAAUGCGAUGGGUUUUUUCUGAAGUUUUGCAGAUGAAAACUAACUCCUACUUAUGUGCUAUAUUUACUACUCAGUCGUGGCAAUUCUCCGAUAUAUGUGGAUGAUACCUUUAAGGUUGUUACAUGCAGAUAACAAAAAGAAAUUACUGAUUUAGAAGAUGAUUGACAAUCUUCAAUGAGAAUAGAGGACAACCUGGCACAUGAGCCUUCACGUGUUGGCAUGCCUGCACUGCCAAUGCAUCUUCAACAUGAGUUGAGGGAGGGCGCUGAUGCCUUGGGGGGCUAGAUGAUCGAGAUCUAAGCACCUAAUGGCCAGGUGGGGUUUAUUAG